This 405-nucleotide ribosomal RNA is filed under the name Peronospora manshurica. Its description in RNAcentral is "SSU rRNA". It matches the Rfam family "Eukaryotic small subunit ribosomal RNA", at positions 1432 to 1830 of the family's 1831-position model. Lineage: Eukaryota; Oomycota; Peronosporomycetes; Peronosporales; Peronosporaceae. The record is from RNAcentral.
AACCAAAGGAAGUUGGAGGCAAUAACAGGUCUGNGAAUGCCCUUAAAAUGUUCUGGGCCCGCACGCGCGCUUACACUUGAUGCGUUCAACGAGUAUACAACCUUGAUCGAUAGGUCUGGGUAAUCUUAUGAAUGCGCAUCGUGCUAGGGAUAGACUGUUGCAAUUUUCAGUCUUGAACGAGGAAUUCCUAGUAAACGCAAGUCAUCAGCUUGCAUUGAUUACGUCCCUGCCCUUUGUACACACCGCCGUCGCACCUACCGAUUGAAUGACUCGGUGAAAAAUUGGGACCGUGAGUCCGCUUGCUUCAUUGCGAGUGGAUUGAUGGAAACUUUUUUAAACCUCGCCAUUUAGAGGAAGGUGAAGUCGUAACAAGGUUUCCGUAGGUGAACCUGCGGAAGGAUCAUU